RNAcentral lists this ribosomal RNA (305 nucleotides) under uncultured bacterium. RNAcentral describes it as "bacterial SSU rRNA". It matches the Rfam family "Bacterial small subunit ribosomal RNA", at positions 335 to 658 of the family's 1533-position model. The record is from RNAcentral.
GGCCUACGGGGGGCAGCAGUGGGGAAUAUUGCACAAUGGGGGAAACCCUGAUGCAGCGACGCCGCGUGAAGGAAGAAGUAUUUCGGUAUGUAAAGCUCUAUCAGCAGGGAAGAGAAUGACGGUACCUGACUAAGAAGCCCCGGCUAACUACGUGCCAGCAGCCGCGGUAAUACGUAGGGGGCAAGCGUUAUCCGGAUUUACUGGGUGUAAAGGGAGCGUAGACGGCUGUACAAGUCUGAAGUGAAAACCCGUGGCUCAACCGCGGAACUGCUUUGGAAACUGUAAAGCUGGAGUACUGGAGAGGG